RNAcentral lists this ribosomal RNA (429 nucleotides) under Actinomycetes bacterium. Its description in RNAcentral is "Actinobacteria bacterium partial 16S ribosomal RNA". It matches the Rfam family "Bacterial small subunit ribosomal RNA", at positions 355 to 776 of the family's 1533-position model. The record is from RNAcentral. Lineage: Bacteria; Bacillati; Actinomycetota; Actinomycetes.
UAGUGAAUCUUCCGCAAUGGGCGAAAGCCUGACGGAGCAACGCCGCGUGAGUGAUGAAGGUCUUCGGAUCGUAAAACUCUGUUAUUAGGGAAGAACAAAUGUGUAAGUAACUAUGCACGUCUUGACGGUACCUAAUCAGAAAGCCACGGCUAACUACGUGCCAGCAGCCGCGGUAAUACGUAGGUGGCAAGCGUUAUCCGGAAUUAUUGGGCGUAAAGCGCGCGUAGGCGGUUUUUUAAGUCUGAUGUGAAAGCCCACGGCUCAACCGUGGAGGGUCAUUGGAAACUGGAAAACUUGAGUGCAGAAGAGGAAAGUGGAAUUCCAUGUGUAGCGGUGAAAUGCGCAGAGAUAUGGAGGAACCCCAGUGGCGAAGGCGACUUUCUGGUCUGUAACUGACGCUGAUGUGCGAAAGCGUGGGGAUCAAACAGG